Macaca mulatta (Rhesus monkey) is the source of this 9956-nucleotide long non-coding RNA. RefSeq lists it as uncharacterized. NCBI's taxonomy places the organism in Eukaryota, Metazoa, Chordata, Mammalia, Primates, Cercopithecidae. The record is from RefSeq and is a predicted model, not a curated record.
CAUCUCAGAAAAAAAAAAAAGAAAGAAAAGGAAAACCAUUCCCUAUUCACUUCUUUAUUCACCCAUCUAUCAAACAUCGGUGCUUGCCUUGUGCCAGGCGUUAUGCUAAGUACUAAAAAUAUCAAAUCUGUAGAAUCAAAUAAUACAUAGUCCUCAAGGAGACUCAGAAAAAAUAGACUUGGGAACAAAUAUAGUUUCAGGUGGUGAAUGCAAUAAUAGAAAUAAAGUAUACUAGGUCUUGGGGUGGCACCUUUUGCUUGGUGGAAAAGGACAGCAAGAGGGGACUUAGCAAGAUCUAUGAGCCAGGGAGAAUGGUGGUGUGUGGGAAUCUGGGAGGCUGGGCUAGGGAGAAUCAGAAAGGAUUAAUAGAUAAGAGAUGAUGUCAAAGGAGCAGAAUGAGUGAGGUUGAGAAACAGGGAGCACAGGAUGUCAGGAACAAAAAGAGGAAUUUCAGAAUUCAGGAAUUUAGUGGAGGAGUAGGGCUGAGUGAUGAUGAAUUUGUAGUUGGUAGGCAGUGGAGGUGGAGUUGUUAGAACAGAUGAGGCCAGGGAACUGCAAGGGAACGUGUUAGAAACAUUGUCAAAAUGGGUGUGGAGGUCCCAAGAUAGAGGAAAAGAGUUCAUUUGUAUCUUUUCCUCAAUUUCUCAUGUAUCUAAACUUGAGAAAAGGAAGUUGCUUCAGGUUUGUCCUCAUAACUACAAUAUUAUAUGUGCUAGGAAAAAAAUGUGUAACUAUGAAAUAAAUGGUUAUCUGAAGACAAAUGUCUUAUUUUCCUCCCUUUCAAAGAGGUAAUACCGUUUGUACACAAUUACAAUCAAUCAAUUGUACACAAUUACAAUCCAACGUGCAUGAGCCAGUUCCAAUGUUGAAAUAUCAAAAGCCUUUUAUAGUCCUGAGAAUAAUUAUAUUGCACAGCAUGAUUAUAAGCAGCGAAUUUAAUUUUUAAUAAGUCUGAAUAUAAUUGAUUAAAACAGUGCCAGACAAUGUUGCAGUAAAGCUCAAUGAGGGUUGCUUUGGACACUGCUACAAAAUGAUCUAGAUCACUCCCAUGCCCUUUUCUGGAAUAAUGCAUCCAGUUCCAGUCCCGGCACCCUGUCAGGUAUGUGGUGAUCAACAGUGCCAUGUCCUUCACUCUGAAAGUGCAGUUUGUUCUACUCCCAAACAAAAGAGCCUGACAUUUCUCAGUUAUUUAAUGAGCUGGUACACCACUAGCUUUCCUUAAAGAAAGCUUUCCUGAGCAGAGCACAGCGUUUCAGUGUACAGUGUCAGCAGAUGCUGACUGCAAGUAUAUGGGGAUUCUCACCAGGACUUUUGGGGAAUAUUAGCAAGUCUUCAUUGGCUUAGAGUCUGUGCUUGAAGCCAGAAAACUCGUGUUUCAAAAGCCAGAGGGUUUUUUGAAAAGAUGGACAUUUACUAGUUGUGUGGCCUCGGCAAGGUAUUUGUUAGCAUCUCUAUAUCUAAGUUCUUCAUCUGUAAAACAGGGAUCCUACUGGCACCUACUACUGAGCAUUAAAGGAGAUAGUAGAUGUGUGGCACUUGAAACAGUGUUUGGCAUUUAGUAAGUACUCAAUAAAUGUUAGUUUUCAUGAUUGUAAUCACAUUAUCCUCAUCAGCCUGGAAACUUUUUCAAAAACUAUCUGUAUGUAAACUACUUUCCAUCCAAAUCACCAACCUAAUGUUUAUUAAGACUGUACUACUUUACCAUUGAAUAAGGAAUGUGGAUGUGUAAUUACUACAUUUAUCCUCAGCAAUAGUCAUUGCUUUGGAAUUGGCAAAACAUUCUUUUUGCACAUCAUCCCUUCCAAUUUACGUUUUGCAAAACUAGAGGAAAACUUUGUUUAAUGUAAAUAUUUCUUGAAAUACCAAUUCUAUACAUUGAACAAAUUGUCUUUAUUUAAACGAAGUUGGAUUCCGCUAUUGCAGUUCUCAUGUUUUGUUAAUUUUAUUAAAAUGUAAAUUUGCCCCUGUCAGUCCUAGUUUAGCAUUUGCAGUUUAUUAACAGAGAAGGAAAUAGUUAACAUGAGGUUUAGGGAAAAGAAUGUAGAAUUCCUUACUGAAAGACUAUUUCCUACAGUUGACCAAUAUUUUCCUCAUAAAGAGCAGCAGAACCUCCUGGCAAGUCUUGGGAGGAGAGAGGACUCACCUGAUUGUGAUAAAAACCAGGCACGCCUAGUUUACAAGCCUCCAGGUUGAGAGGUUCUUUAAGAUUGUUCAUAACACAGCACUGACGAGGCCAGGGAUAGUCAGCAUCAUUAUUCUCAGUCCGGAAGGCAGACGUGUAUUUUUGCCAGUCUGAUGGACCAUUUACGCCACAGCAGUUAUCCUGUCAGCAGAUGAGAGAUACAAAAUUCUCUUUCGUGGUCCCUACUAGAGCCAUCGAUGUAGCAACUGAAAUUUUAUAGAGAAAGAAGAUACGGAAAGUGUACCGUAUCUUACAUUUACUAAGAAGUCCCCAAAUGACAGCUGAAGGUAUUGAUAACUUACAACUGACAUUUUACAGUUUGUAAAAUAAUUUUUACACUAUUACUUUACUAGUCAUUAGUGAGCCCUGUAGCCACUGACAUGUUACUUAAACUCUCUAAGCCUCAGUUUCCUUAACUGUAAAAUUGGAAUAUAGUACCUAUCUCAUAGAGUUUUUUUAAGGAUUAAAUGAGUUAAUUUACUUAAUGUGCUCAAUACAGUGCCUGGCUUAUGCUAAACUCUUGAUAAAUGUUAAUUAUGAUUGAUACUGUACUGAUAUCUUGAUAUAACAAUGUGAGAGAGGAAUAAUUAUUGUGAUAUAUGAGCAAAUUGAGAAUCGUAAAAUUAAAAAUUUUAGUGAUGAAGUUAUGAGUAAUUGUUCUUGUUUUGCUUUUCUGUACAUUUAAACAUUUUUUAAGAGUAAUUAGGUAUUAUUUUUAUAAUGGGAGAAAAUAAAGUGAAAAAAAUAACCUGGUGACACACAGCUGUCUCCACGUAGGGAAGGGAGAUCAGUUAAUGCAUCCCUUACACUCUGGAUAGAAUUGAGAAUACAGGACAAAACACAAUUCAUAUAGCUUUCCUUCUUUAUUAUCAAUUCUGCUACAAUCCUUCAAAAGGGAGGAAGUUAAAACUAUGGGUAUCUUGGAACUAUUAGAAUGAAUAUAUUCAAGUAAGCUUGAUGAUAAAUCAACCAUCUUUAAAGGAUGUACAAUUUUGUCACUAUAUUAUGGGAAAUAUCUAAGAAAAAGAAUUGCUCUGCAUUCUGGGAAAAAAUGGUUAAGUCUAAGCCAGGCUUAUUUCAAACUAGGAUUUAAGUGGGGACAGAGAAAAGUUAAGCAUCCAGAAUUGAGCUCUGCAGUGCUUCAAGCUUCAGAUUUGGGUAAAGAGUGACAGCCCAGCAGAGGAGACUAAGCGGGAGUAGCCAGUGAGACAAAUUCUGAUAAGAUGUCAAAGAAGAUGAGGAUAGAAACUUGGCCAUUGGAUUUGGCAGGAUGGAGGUAAUUGGUAAUGAAGACCAGGGUUGUUUUUGUUGAGUGGUGGGGCCAGAGGCCAAUUGUAGUUGGAUGAAAGAAGAUGAGGGGGAUGAAAAUGGGGACCACAAGUGUAGGCGUCUCUUCUGAGAUUUGCUGUGGAAUAAAACAAAAGAGUAGUAGAACAGAAGAGUGGGUGAAUGUUGGACAAGGGAGACUUUUUAUAAGAUGGACAAUUUAAGGUGUCCAUGUAGGCUGAAGAAAGGGAGAAACUGAUGAGGCAGAUCAGAGCAGGGAAGACUGUCGGGGCAAAGGAGAUGGAAUGCAGAACAGAAGCAAAAGAGCUGGACAAAGGACAGCCCGUGUGUCAUAACAAGAGAGAAGGCAAAAUGCACAGGUGUAGAUCAAUGUAGAUUUGGCGGUAGAAAGAUGAGCUGGUUCUUGUCUAAUUGCUUCUAUAUUCUUAAAAACAUAUGAGGUCAGGUCAUCAGCUGAGAGGGAGGGUGAGGAGCAAUGUGGCAGGCAUGAAGGAAGAACAUGUGAAAUAGUGACAAGUGAAUUUCCUGGGAAAAUAUACUAGGAAAUAUUAUCUGCCCAUCUGAGCUCUGUGGUCACAAGUUUAAAUUGAAAUUAUCACAGUUGUGUGACUUUUCUCAGCAAUGUUUAGCUCUUAGAGUAUAAAUGAAGAGUGAGCAAAAAGCUGUAUUCUACUCAGUGGGCUUGGUUAGGAAAGAGUGACCAACAGAGAAGGGUAGGGAAGGAAUGGCUAUGGGGCUGGACUUGAAUAUGGGUUAGGCAGAGGGCAAAGAGAAAACAUGAAAGGGGUGAUAGAAAGUUAAAAAGUGGUCAAUUAAUUGGAGGUCCUAAUGGGGUAAAAUUAUUAGAAUUGAGAUAUUAGAAUAAAUGAAAUAAAUAACAGAAAUUAGUGGUCAGAGAGUAGAAUGUUCUUAGUGGCACAGUUAUUGGUGAUGGCAUGCUGGCUAUGGUCAUGGAAGAGGGUGGAGGUAGGGUGGAAAGCAAAAUCUUUGGAACGGGGUAGGACAAGGAAUUGUGAGACCAGAUGUUGCGGAGUCAUCUGUGUGGCUGCUGAAGUUUCUAGGUGGGAUGUCAGGAGUAUGACUGAAGAGGUAGACAGUGAGUGAGAUAUUGAAAUCCCUAAUGAAGGCAGGAGAACAACUGGGGGUAGGGAGGCUGGUAAGUAAUGACAAGGAGGGAUAAAGGGUGAUGUAGAUCGAGGAGGCAAAUAGUAUGGCAGCCAAGGGGAGCAAGAAGGAGCCUAGCCAAUUUCCAGGUCCUAUGGUACCUGGAUAUGGGAGGAAAAUGAAGGGCAGGCAGUACUCCCAGGAGACAGCCAAAUUUCCAAUGAAGCAAGAAAAAGAUACUAAAGAGUUCAUAGAAGGAGUGAUGGCUAUAAGGGAGUUUGCUGAUGACAGACUGUAAAAAGUUGGUGAUGGGGUGUGGAGUAGGGGCAGGGGCCAGUGAGGAAGCUGGGUCAGAUUGGUAGUUAUGUAGAGGAUAACAAUUUGUGUGCAGAGGGCAAUGUGGGGGUGAUGAUGGAUAUUCUGGAAGACUUGGACUUUUGAUGGCAUUGGAGAUAAACAUGGACAUAAACUAUGAUUGCCAGUUGGAGAAAACUGGGUGAUCAAAUCAAGACAUAGUGCCUGGUCCUUGGCAAGACUGGCUCACAGGGCUUGUGAAGAGGUACCAAAAAGGCGAAACGGGCAGUAAUUACCACUCGAGUUCACUGUGGGGCAGAGAAAAUAUUUUUCUUUUAAUGUAAAUGAUACCUGAGUUCUAAGAGGGAGAGUAUGUGAUUAAUCUAAAUUUCUUUACAAAAUCAUUCCAACGAAUGUAAGCUAAUCAUCGGCUUGGAAUAACAUAUAGGGUCCCACUGAGUCAUGUGUACGACACCCACUCCCACCAGUAAAUAAAAAUGGCAUCUCCCCAAGACCCCAGGUCUUACCUGGAGCAUGAGCCUGUCCCAGGUUUUGGUGACUCCGUUGUUUUUCCACUGGUCAUCAUUGUUUGGAGGGCUGUUGUUUUGGUACCUCUCUAGCAUCUGCUUCAGGAAGAGGUUGGGUGUGAACUAUAAUAAGAAGAGGCAACACAAGAGGGAGAGUUAGCACACUGAUUUUCAAGGAGAGGCAAAUAGUUUUCUCUGUCAGUUCCUGGGGACCUGAGCAUUCUCUCCUGGAGCAAAACGGUACUCAGAGACACCGAGUACAGCUGGCUGAGGUUGGCAUAAGUCGCCACGCAGAGAAGAGACUCUCGUGUUAAAAGAAAUCACUAUGAGGCCAGAGGAACACAUACUGUAGCAUGGCUUAGGCUAGGGCAACAGAGAAUGUGAGAGAAGGAAAUACAUAGAAUUGAGAGCAAGUCUUAGCUGAGGUAGAAUAGAGAUCCUCCCACUGGAAGGCCCAUGGCCGUGGCAGAGUGGUGAAACCCACAGGGAAUUACAAACUUGGGCCCUGGGAGUCAGGCUGUUUGAGUUCAGAAUUCUUGCUCUUUCAGUUGCCAACUAUGUCACUUUAGACAAGUCACUUUACCUUUCUGUCUCAUUUUUUUCUUUUCUAAAAUGACAAGAGUGAUAAUGCCUAUUUCAUAGAUUUAUAAGGAUUAAGUGAAGUGAUGUAUGUAUUAUUACCAUGCGUACUGGAUUGCCUGGGCAUACAGUAAGGGGUUAAUACAUGUUGGUUGUUAUAAUAAUGAUAAUUAAUAUUAUCAUUUUGCUUUUUGAGGUUGUACUCACAAAGUCUCGUUGUGUUGCUGCUGUGAUACAAGAUGCCACUUCAAAGGCAUAUACUAUAAACAUCAGAAUGAAAUACUGGAAGGGAAACAAAUGAGAUAAAAUAAUUACAUUUACCUGUCAAAGAGCGACUUGCCCAAAUAAUUAUGAUUUUUCAGCAAAUUCAUCAUAUAAUCAUGUAAUCAUUCAUGUAGUUAUUUAACAAACCCUCAUUGAUCAGUGGCUUGGAUUGGGGCUUGGUGCUAGUCAGCUCAAUUCUCUCCCUUUCUCCAGAGAACAAAUAGCCAUUGAAUAGAGAGCUUCCUCAGUCCAGUUUUCUGAGUUUUUAUUUUAACUGGGAAAAACAAGUACAAGAGAAUGAACUGGUGUGUGUGUGUGUGUGCAUUUACAUGCAUGUGCAUGCUCAGUGCCUACCAAAAGAUCUUAGUGUAUCACAUACAAUAUAGGGCCUCAUAAAUCCACUUUAAUUUUGGAAUUUUGGAGAAAUUUUCUUUACAAUUUGCUGAGAAUUUAGAAUCACAGAGUUCAGAAAAAGAUGAACUGGAUUAUGUUGAAUAUCUAGGGUCCUUCCUAACAAGCAUCCAGCCUCAUCAGAGGAGAGGCAGCCUCCAAGUGCACAGCGAUUUGCCGGGCGUUCUUUCACAUGCACCUGCAUUCAAAGUACAUCGGCUCAGUUGUACCUGGGUGUAUGCAGACACCAGCUGUAGAGGCACAAUAUGGAAAAUACUCAUCAGGCCACCCCCAGGUGUCUCCCCUUUGGCUUCUCUGUACUGGAGUCUUCUGGACUUGCAAUAGUGGAGGGCAUUUUUGCCUCCACGUGGACAAUUUCACUGCAGGGAAAGUGUUCCCCUCCUCACCCCUCAUCUGGUACUUGCUGCUCCCCCACUGAAAGCCAAAUCUUUGCUCAGUAAAGAAGAAAGAAUCCAUUAAAAUUGGCUCAGGGAGACAACUCCAGAGAAAUCUGAGGUCUUACCGCCAGAAGAAUUUUCCUGCUGGACUUCAUGAUGCCUACGAUGCCAAGAACGGACAGGCAGAAGAGGCAGAUGCCCACAAAUAUGCCGAUCCAGGCAGCCCCAUAGAUGUCAUCAUUGUCAGUGGCUUCAAGCAGUGGGUAGAGGCUGUGUUGGUCAGAUACAAAGAAAAUGCACUCCGCGGUCAGGGCAAUGCCGCAACACUGGGGGCAAAUGAAGGGUAGGCUCCAUCAGAAGUGCAGCUUUGGGAAAGGGGGUGGAGGGCGGCGAAGGUAAGAGACUGGCUCCCUUUCCUGCACAGACUUUAUGCAACUAAUCUAAACUCCCCAUUGCCACAAAAUCAAACAACUACUUCCAUCCUACCAACUGGUUGCAUACACCCCUUCACACGUUAUUCUGUCUAUUUAGAAACAGACCCACACAAUUUCAGACCAUCCACAAUGUCCUUGGGGCAUAAAUCACUCAAACAAUGCCUUCUGGUAUGAGAAUGAUCUCCCCCUGCCCCCAUGUCAUGACCCACACUUCUGGGUUGUAAUAUUUGAGCUGGUCCUGGUCAUAUUUAUCAAUGACAGCUGGGAGGAACCUUGCUGCUUAUCUUUGCCAACACCCACAUUUUAUAGAUGAGGAAUCUCGGCCUUGAAAGGUGAUGGCCAGAGUCAUAUGGGGAGUCAGGGGGAGAGCCGGGCCAAGAGCUCUGGACUCCAAAACAAAUGUUCUCCUAUGCCAUCAGACCCACACAGUGUGACCUCUGUAUUAUUUUUACACCCUGGUACUGGCCUCUGUGUAAGAACAAGAAGAUGCAAACAUCUGUCCCAAAACACCUUAACAGCAGAGUCCCACGGAAAUCGAACCAAGGUGACAUAGAAAAGAAACACUGAAGUGUGUUUGUAGUCAGAGUGUUUAGACACUGACUAUGGUUGACAUGACUCCUUUUAGAUACUUAUAAUUUAAAGUUGGGAGGGAAAUAUCUAUUUUUUCAACCAUGAUCUUUUGACAUAUGGUUAAAUUCUAGCUAGCAUAUUUACUAACAUAUUUCUUAAAAUGAAGCAAAAAUAUAGGAAGCCAGUAAUUACAGCAUUAUUUUCCUUGAAACUCUUACUUUUGAUUAAUGUAGAGUUAUGAUUACAGGAAGAGCAGAAUUUCCUGAGAAAUAAGCAUUACUUACACCAAUAAUCACAUUUCCAAAAAUCAGCAGGCCCUGGAAGCAACGAACAGUGGAGUCGUCUUUGGCCAUCUUCAGGAUUUCCCACAAGCUGAAGGCACAGUUGAAAGCAUUACCAAAUAACUGCUACAGUUUCUGUAACAUGAGUAAACCAUGCCAUUGCAUAUUGCCUCCUUGUUCCCAAAUGAACCAAACCAAAGCCAUAUAAUCCUUGAGCAAUGAAGGACAUUUGAUUAUUGAGCUUAGUAAUCACAUAACUUUUAUAGAGAAGGAAAAGAAUAUAGCCUUCCAGAGCCUGGUUAGUGCCUUUCAGGAGUUCUUUCAGGCAAGGAGUGUGCAGAAUGCAUCCUUCUGAGUGGUAGACUGAGCCCCGCAAGGUGGAAAGCACAAGGGGUGGACCUGAGGUGGUGAUUGGGCAGGGCCAAAGCACACUGAGGGUCACUGGCAUAGCCCUCACUGCCCUUGGCCAUGACAAGUGGAAACCUGAAGGGUAAACUCAUGGCUACAGUUAGUGGUUGGUUCCCAUGUGGACUGUAGGUUGCUUUUAAAAACUAUCAUUUUCUGAAUAUUUUAUUAUCUUCAAAGAAAUAGUUGGCAAAUAGAAAAGUGCCCUGUUGUAUAUGAGGGGAAGUGAAAAACGGGGACUAGCAUUUACUUCCUUGUACCAGGUGUGUGCCACUCUACCAGGUGCUUUGCAUGCACACAUCUAAUUCUCAUAACCCAAUUAGGUAGAAAAAGAAGAAAAGUGAGGAGGCUCCAUUUUGCAGAUGAGGAAACUAAAGCUUAAAUUGGUCAAUUAAGUUCCCUGGGGUCACACAACCAGUAAGUGGCAGAGCUAGGCUAGAGACCUUGGUGUGUGUGGACUCCAGAUACUCUAGAGUCCACGCGCUUCACCACAGCCCACAAUGACUCCCAGAAACUAUUGAUAGACUUUGGUGCCAUACACAGCUGAACAUGGGUCUUUCACCUCCCUGAGGGUUUUCUGGAAGGAACACAAAGGUAAGCAUGUGGGUCAAUCACUUGGGCUUCUGCACUUGAAGCACCUUGAGAAAAGCAAUCUACAGCUCUCAACAUUUAAUUCAUCAAUUCAUGCAUUCCUGCUGUAAAUAAAAAGUGUAUUAAAUGGUUCAAUAGGCAUUUUGAGGCAUACAAAAAUAUGUAAGGGAGAUUAUUGUAUUCUAGGAUUUUUUGUGUUAGUAGGGAAACUAAGAUGCAUUCCCACAUAACUAUACUACAUGUAGUGAGACUAAAUAUUGUGGGAGUCCUGAGGCGGGAAGACGUAAGUCUUGCAGGAUGUGUAUGGUUUGAUACAUAGAGUGGAGGUGGAUAUGUGUGGGAGUGAGGUGGGGGUGGGUGACAUUCAGGUAAAGAGGAAGGGAAAGUUAGGGAGUAGAGACAGAAGAGCAAGGUGCCCACAAGAUAGCAAACCAGUCAAUUUGGCCAAAGUCCUAGUUUCGUAGGAUGGCAGUGGAAGGCAAACCUUCUAUUUGUCUCAAGCCUUGCUAAUUUUAACCUCGUUGUUACACUGUAAGUAUUAACAACCUUCCGAGUAAGUUUAGACAUCUGUAAAUAUUUUCCUUUGUUUCCUGGGUAGCUGUGACAAUUUGAGUUAAAAUUUAUGAGCAUUUUUGGCUCAGAAUUUGGCA